CAGAUACUGCUAGUAAUGACUUUGCCUUUUUUGUCCCUAAACCUUUUUGUCCCUAAACUACCUACUAUUUGGCCUAGUUUUUCAGAUACUGCUAGUAAUGACAACAAUUAAAGCGUAAUUCAAUCAGAAGUGUAUCGUACCACAAGCAUUGACCUGAUUGUCCAGGGAAACAAGAUUGGCUUCUAGCAGCAUUGCUGAGGAUGAAGAAAUGGCAGAAGAUGUCCCUGACAUUCCUGUUGAUGUUUGUGAAUUGGAGGAUGGCUUCUCUGACGAGGACAUCUCUAUGGAGAUAGAGGAGGUUGAUUCUGAUGGCAGUAGCUGGG
Long non-coding RNA from Neoarius graeffei (lesser salmon catfish), 323 nucleotides. RefSeq lists it as uncharacterized. NCBI's taxonomy places the organism in Eukaryota, Metazoa, Chordata, Actinopteri, Siluriformes, Ariidae. The record is from RefSeq and is a predicted model, not a curated record. The transcript has 3 exons.